RNAcentral lists this ribosomal RNA (301 nucleotides) under uncultured bacterium. RNAcentral describes it as "partial 16S ribosomal RNA". It matches the Rfam family "Bacterial small subunit ribosomal RNA", at positions 509 to 807 of the family's 1533-position model. The record is from RNAcentral.
CAGUAGCCGCGGGAAAACAGAGGGUGCGAGCGUUAAUCGGAUUUACUGGGCGUAAAGCGUGCGUAGGCGGCUUCUUAAGUCGGAUGUGAAAUCCCUGAGCUUAACUUAGGAAUUGCAUUCGAUACUGGUUAGCUAGAGUGUGGGAGAGGAUGGUAGAAUUCCAGGUGUAGCGGUGAAAUGCGUAGAGAUCUGGAGGAAUACCGAUGGCGAAGGCAGCCAUCUGGCCUAACACUGACGCUGAGGUACGAAAGCAUGGGGAGCAAACAGGAUUAGAUACCCCCGUAGUCCCUGUCUCUUAUAC